RNAcentral lists this ribosomal RNA (253 nucleotides) under uncultured bacterium. Its description in RNAcentral is "partial 16S ribosomal RNA". It matches the Rfam family "Bacterial small subunit ribosomal RNA", at positions 524 to 776 of the family's 1533-position model. The record is from RNAcentral.
UACGUAGGGUGCGAGCGUUGUCCGGAAUUACUGGGCGUAAAGAGCUCGUAGGUGGUUUGUCGCGUUGUUCGUGAAAACUCACAACUCAAUUGUGGGCGUGCGGGCGAUACGGGCAGACUGGAGUACUGCAGGGGAGACUGGAAUUCCUGGUGUAGCGGUGGAAUGCGCAGAUAUCAGGAGGAACACCGGUGGCGAAGGCGGGUCUCUGGGCAGUAACUGACGCUGAAGAGCGAAAGCGUGGGGAGCGAACAGG